RNAcentral lists this unclassified non-coding RNA (219 nucleotides) under plant metagenome. RNAcentral describes it as "partial contains small subunit ribosomal RNA and internal transcribed spacer 1". The stretch from base 1 to 46 matches the Rfam family "Eukaryotic small subunit ribosomal RNA", at positions 1786 to 1831 of the family's 1831-position model. The record is from RNAcentral.
AAGUCGUAACAAGGUCUCCGUAGGUGAACCUGCGGAGGGAUCAUUACACAAAUAUGAGGGCGGACUGGAACCUCUCGGGGUUACAGCCUUGCUGAAUUAUUCACCCUUCGUCUUUGCGUUACUUCUUGUUUCCUUGGUUGGGCUUGGUCGCCCACCACUAGGACAAACAUAAACCUUUUGUAAUUGCAAUCAGCGUCAGUAACAAAUUAAUAAUUACAA